UACAGAGGUGGCAAGCGUUGUUCGGAAUUACUGGGCGUAAAGGGCGCGUAGGCGGCCAUCUAAGUCAGACGUGAAAUCCCCCGGCUUAACCUGGGAACUGCGUCUGAUACUGGACGGCUUGAGUAUGGGAGAGGGAUGUAGAAUUCCAGGUGUAGCGGUGAAAUGCGUAGAUAUCCGGAGGAACACCGGUGGCGAAGGCGGCUUCCUGGACCGACACUGACGCUGAGGCGCGAAAGCUAGGGGAGCAAACGGG
Molecule: ribosomal RNA, 253 nt
Filed under: uncultured bacterium
Lineage: Bacteria
Description: partial 16S ribosomal RNA
Rfam family: Bacterial small subunit ribosomal RNA
Source: RNAcentral